Non-coding RNA from Mucispirillum schaedleri ASF457, 73 nucleotides. NCBI's taxonomy places the organism in Bacteria, Pseudomonadati, Deferribacterota, Deferribacteres, Deferribacterales, Mucispirillaceae. The record is from Rfam.
GAGCCGUUAGCUCAGACGGUAGAGCAAUUGCCUUUUAAGCAAUGGGUCAUUGGUUCGAUCCCAAUACGGCUCA